AUCAGAGGGGCUGAAGAGCUUGUCUGCUUUGGCCUGGCUGUCUUUAUUCUGGCAACCUCCACCCAGGGCUGGCUCCAGGCACCAGCCCAGCAAGCAGGUGCUUGGGGUGGCCAAGGGGAAGGGGCGGCAUGUCGGGCUGUUCAGCAGCGGCGGGUCCCUCUCGGAGGGAAGCACCUGCCACCGAAUUCCUGCCGAAGAAGAAAGUGGUGCGGUGGAGUUGCUGCUGGAGUGCUGCCGAUCGCAAUUGUGAUCGCAGUCUUUUUUUUUUUUUUUCCCCCAGCCCCUUGGGAUGGCAAAACCCCUGGAGCCGGUCCUCCCUCCACCUCAUUAAACCUUGACAUCUGUCAUCUACAGGAGUUUUCUAGAGAGAGAAAAGUUGGUAAGAAGCCUACGAGCUCCAUGUGUGGUUCCUCUUCAACCAUCACUGAACUGCAGCAGCGGCGGCGCCGACGUCCCGGAGAGAGCUAUGGGCUAUUACAUGACCAUCUGCAUAAAAUAUUGGAAUCGUAGCCAUGAAAAUGAGCAGCGCUUUCAUUCCUGUACGCUCUGGAGAAUGACCAUGCAGCUUGGAGACGAGCAUAAAGGAAGGACCCAGUCCUGCCCUCAUUCAAAGACAUGGCGGAACUCCUAUUAACUUCAAUGGGAGCAGGAUCAAGCCCCAAGAAUGAUUCUGAGUGUAAAGAUAAGUCAAUUGAUGGAAAAUAUCUUGUGUAGCGUCAUAAAAGUCACCAGUUAAAUAUUCAAAACAGGUUGCAUUUGAAUGUUGCCAACUGGUACACGCACAAAAAGAGCCAAACAUCUGCCAAAUAAUAAAAAUAGAACCAAGGUGACUUUUAAUAAAUAA
This 844-nucleotide long non-coding RNA is filed under the name Chrysemys picta bellii (western painted turtle). Its description in RNAcentral is "lncRNA (ENSCPBG00000003494.1)". The record is from RNAcentral. Lineage: Eukaryota; Metazoa; Chordata; Testudines; Emydidae.